UUUUCAUAAUCAACAAGAGUAUCCUUCAUUGAAGCCUUGUAGUCUCAGUCAACUAGAAGUUUCAGUUGGCAACACUGUCCCUAUGCUUGGAUGUCAUUAUAGACAACCAGCAGCUUUGCCUCGUCAAAGUUCACAGAUCAAACGACGGUGGUCCAAAUCUAGGAUUAAAAUAUGACCGGCCUGCUCCUGAAAGGGGACAGACUGUGCGUUCCGUAGGUGAACCUGCGGAAGGAUCAUCACAGAGUUCAUGCCCUACCGGGUAGAUCUCCCACCCUAUGUUAUUAUUACUUUGUUGCUUUGGCGGGCCGUUAGGCUCCGGCCCGACUACCGGCCCCGGCUGGUAAGCGCCCGCCAGAGGACCCAAAACCCUGAAUAUUAGUGUCGUCUGAGUACUAUAUAAUAGUUAAAACUUUCAACAACGGAUCUCUUGGUUCUG
Molecule: unclassified non-coding RNA, 436 nt
Filed under: plant metagenome
Description: partial contains small subunit ribosomal RNA, internal transcribed spacer 1, and 5.8S ribosomal RNA
Source: RNAcentral